Molecule: long non-coding RNA, 1263 nt
Filed under: Trifolium pratense (red clover)
Lineage: Eukaryota; Viridiplantae; Streptophyta; Magnoliopsida; Fabales; Fabaceae
Description: long non-coding RNA (TPRA_LNC003251)
Source: RNAcentral
UUUGUCUUUCAAUUGGUUUUUUUUCCAAUUAAUAAACUAAAAAUGUACAAAAACUACAAAGCAUGCAUAAAGUAUAAUUAAAUUUGUUUAAACUUCAAAUAUAUUUUGAAUUGUUGAUAAUAUGUAUAAUUCAAUUUUGUAGAUAGGAAGAUGAUGAGAAAACUGGCAUAUAUGCCUCCGUCACCAAAGCUUAACGAAAACCCAGGAGUUGGUCAUCGUUAAGUGAGAAAAUCUUCCUUAUACCGCUAAUUAAAGUUAGAUCUCUCCUAUAAAGUAUAUAUGAAAUUUAUAUUUUACCCUUAAUAAAUUUUAACUGUUUAUACAUAUUUUGUUCUAAAAAUUUCAGAAUAAAUUAGUUUUUAAAAGAAAUAAAGUUCUUGAAAAGGAAAAACUUGAGUUUGAAGGACAAAAUACAACUUUGAAAGGUUAAAAUUUAUAUUAUUUGAGUUUUAGAAAAAACUUAUAUAUAAUGAAAAUCUGUUUUUCUAGAAUUUUGAAAUGUCUUUAAAUUUUUAAAGAUUUCAUAUCUAAAAUUUAAACUUUCUAUAAAUUCAAAAAAAAUUAUAAAAAAAAAUGAUUUAUAUUCAACUAGCGGGUAGGCGCGUCUGACUGUGUCUAACUUAUGUCCAAAAAAAAGAUAUGUCUCAUGUUAUGAUGAGUUUGUUAAUAAAAAAUUUUGCUGCUAAAAAAAAAGUGUCUUAUGUUAUGGAGUUUGUUAAUAAAAUAUUUUUGUUGCUACUAAAAAAAAUCAAGGGUAUUAUUGAUAUUAUGAAAAGUCCACACAAAAACUCAUGUAUCCUCUUUAUACAUACUAUAGAUAAAAAGAUAUUUUUGAGAAAAUUUGAGGUAGAAAAGUAAAAUGUGGGGUAUAAGGAAGAUUUUUCUUCUCCAGCUUAAGAGUGUAAGCCAUGAGCCAACAUGGUCCACAAAAUAUCACGUGAAUGAAGUGUGUUCCACGGAUCACUACAUCAUGAGUCUCAUAUAUUGUAUAUUUUGUUUUUUUUUACAUAACAUAAUAUUGUAUACUUAUAAGGUUUUUUUAGGGAUAAUGUAUAAUUUAAAGUUGACCAAAGUAAAGUCUUAUAAAAUAGCAGUAUUGUUUAGUGAUUUAUGAUUUGUAAUUUUAAAUUAUAGUAAUCUCUUUCUUUCUUUUUUUUUUGUUACAAGUAUUAUUCAAAUUUCUUUCUGGUUAGAUAUAUUGUUAAAAAACAAAACAAAAUUAACUCAAUUUACAUAUUUGUGGUACUAUUAAUUUGAAUACGA